UUGAUCCUGGCUCAGGACGAACGCUGGCGGCGUGCUUAACACAUGCAAGUCGAGCGAGAAACCAUUGAUUGAUUCUUCGGAAGAUUCGAUGGCGGAAAGCGGCGGACGGGUGAGUAACGCGUGGGCAACCUACCGUGUACAGGGGGAUAACAUCGGGAAACCGGUGCUAAUACCGCACAACACAUCAACAUGGCCUCAUGAAGAUGUCAAAGGAGGAAUCCGGUAUAAGAUGGGCCCGCGUCCAAUUAGCUAGUUGGUGAGGUAACGGCUCACCAAGGCGACGAUUGGUAGCCGAACUGAGAGGUUGAUCGGCCACAUUGGGACUGAGACACGGCCCAGACUCCUACGGGAGGCAGCAGUGGGGAAUAUUGCACAAUGGGGGAAACCCUGAUGCAGCAACGCCGCGUGAAGGAUGAAGGUCUUCGGAUCGUAAACUUCUUUGAUUGGGGAAGAAGAAGUGACGGUACCCAAAAAACAAGCCACGGCUAACUACGUGCCAGCAGCCGCGGUAAUACGUAGGUGGCAAGCGUUGUCCGGAAUUACUGGGUGUAAAGGGCGUGUAGGCGGGGGUGCAAGUCAGAUGUGAAAGCCCGUGGCUCAACUGCGGGACUGCAUCUGAAACUGUAUCUCUUGAGUACUGGAGAGGGAAGUGGAAUUCCUAGUGUAGCGGUGAAAUGCGUAGAGAUUAGGAGGAACACCAGUGGCGAAGGCGGCUUCCUGGACAGUUACUGACGCUGAGGCGCGAAAGCGUGGGGAGCGAACAGGAUUAGAUACCCUGGUAGUCCACGCCGUAAACGAUGGAUACUAGGUGUAGGAGGUAUCGACCCCUUCUGUGCCGGAGUAAACGCAAUAAGUAUCCCACCUGGGGAGUACGACCGCAAGGUUGAAACUCAAAGGAAUUGACGGGGGCCCGCACAAGCAGUGGAGUAUGUGGUUUAAUUCGAAGCAACACGAAGAACCUUACCAGGGCUUGACAUCCCUUGAACGCUCUAGAGAUAGAGUUUCCCUUCGGGGCAAGGUGACAGGUGGUGCAUGGUUGUCGUCAGCUCGUGUCGUGAGAUGUUGGGUUAAGUCCCGUAACGAGCGCAACCCUUGUCGUUAGUUGCCAGCAAGUAAUGUUGGGCACUCUAAUGAGACUGCCGGUGAUAAAUCGGAGGAAGGUGGGGAUGACGUCAAAUCAUCAUGCCCCUUAUGUCCUGGGCUACACACGUACUACAAUGGCUGGUACAGAGGGGAGCUAAGCCGCGAGGUGUAGCAAAUCCCAAAAACCAGUCCCAGUUCGGAUUGCAG
This 1290-nucleotide ribosomal RNA is filed under the name uncultured organism. RNAcentral's name for it is "bacterial SSU rRNA". It matches the Rfam family "Bacterial small subunit ribosomal RNA", at positions 13 to 1303 of the family's 1533-position model. The record is from RNAcentral.